This 28-nucleotide small RNA is filed under the name Bombyx mori (domestic silkworm). Its description in RNAcentral is "ovarian small RNA-12829". The record is from RNAcentral. Lineage: Eukaryota; Metazoa; Arthropoda; Insecta; Lepidoptera; Bombycidae.
CAAGAGUAUCAAACUCAUGGUUCUUCGC